GUAUGCCCCGUUAUUUCCCUCUUAGUCACAGUUUCUAACAGUCAUUAAUUUUUGCGCUCUUUUAUGUACUGAUACUGAUAGUGGGAGCCCUAUUAUGGCAUAUCAUCCACUACACUUUCUGCAGUACUGGGAAAUCUUGGACAACAUUUUUUCCCUGCAAGCUUCUGAUUAGCCAUCGACCAAAACCAGAAAUGAACAGGAAAUAUCUACUGGAGUCUACUAGGGAUAUUCCUUUGUGAACAGUUGAUAGGGAUUAAUUUGAAUUACAUGGAGGAAGAAAAAAUGCAUGCCACAUAUAUACAUAUUUUUAUUUUUGAAUUCUUGAAACUCAUCAAACUCUUUUAAGAAGCAGAUAAUGAUAUUUCAUGACACUAUUUUUCACUCUUGCUUUUUCUUUUUGGGGUUUG
RNAcentral lists this long non-coding RNA (407 nucleotides) under Capsicum annuum. Its description in RNAcentral is "long non-coding RNA (CANN_LNC012172)". Lineage: Eukaryota; Viridiplantae; Streptophyta; Magnoliopsida; Solanales; Solanaceae. The record is from RNAcentral.